Cervus elaphus (red deer) is the source of this 73-nucleotide non-coding RNA. Lineage: Eukaryota; Metazoa; Chordata; Mammalia; Artiodactyla; Cervidae. The record is from the annotation of a RefSeq genome assembly.
UCCCUGACGGUCCAGUGGUUAAGACUCUGCACUUCCAAUGCAGGGGCCGUGGGUUCGAUCCCUAGUUGGGGAA